This 253-nucleotide ribosomal RNA is filed under the name uncultured bacterium. RNAcentral describes it as "partial 16S ribosomal RNA". It matches the Rfam family "Bacterial small subunit ribosomal RNA", at positions 524 to 776 of the family's 1533-position model. The record is from RNAcentral.
UACGUAGGGUGCAAGCGUUGUCCGGAAUUAUUGGGCGUAAAGAGCUCGUAGGCGGUUUGUCGCGUCUGCUGUGAAAACGCGAGGCUCAACCUCGCGCCUGCAGUGGGUACGGGCAGACUAGAGUGUGGUAGGGGAGAUUGGAAUUCCUGGUGUAGCGGUGGAAUGCGCAGAUAUCAGGAGGAACACCGGUGGCGAAGGCGGUUCUCUGGGCCUUACCUGACACUGAGGAGCGAAAGCGUGGGGAGCGAACAGG